GCCUCGGUGGUGUAGUCCGGCCAAUCAUCCAGCACUUUCGAUGCUGGGACCCGGGUUCAAAUCCCGGCCGAGGCA
Molecule: transfer RNA, 75 nt
Filed under: archaeon GW2011_AR15
Lineage: Archaea
Also listed under: 1 other name
Description: tRNA-Glu
Rfam family: tRNA
About the family: Transfer RNA (tRNA) molecules are approximately 80 nucleotides in length.
Source: RNAcentral